This 497-nucleotide ribosomal RNA is filed under the name uncultured bacterium. RNAcentral describes it as "partial 16S ribosomal RNA". It matches the Rfam family "Bacterial small subunit ribosomal RNA", at positions 28 to 507 of the family's 1533-position model. The record is from RNAcentral.
GAUGAACGCUGGCGGCGUGCCUAAUACAUGCAAGUCGAGCGAACGGACGAGAAGCUUGCUCUUCUGAUGUUAGCGGCGGACGGGUGAGUAACACGUGGAUAACCUACCUAUAAGACUGGGAUAACUUCGGGAAACCGGAGCUAAUACCGGAUAAUAUUUUGAACCGCAUGGUUCAAAAGUGAAAGACGGUCUUGCUGUCACUUAUAGAUGGAUCCGCGCUGCAUUAGCUAGUUGGUAAUGUAACGGCUUACCAAGGCAACGAUGCAUAGCCGACCUGAGAGGGUGAUCGGCCACACUGGAACUGAGACACGGUCCAGACUCCUACGGGAGGCAGCAGUAGGGAAUCUUCCGCAAUGGGCGAAAGCCUGACGGAGCAACGCCGCGUGAGUGAUGAAGGUCUUCGGAUCGUAAAACUCUGUUAUUAGGGAAGAACAUAUGUGUAAGUAACUGUGCACAUCUUGACGGUACCUAAUCAGAAAGCCACGGCUAACUACGUG